UACGAAGGGUGCAAGCGUUACUCGGAAUUACUGGGCGUAAAGCGUGCGUAGGUGGUUUGUUAAGUCUGUUGUGAAAGCCCCGGGCUCAACCUGGGAAUUGCAAUGGAUACUGGCAAGCUAGAGUGCGGUAGAGGGUAGUGGAAUUCCCGGUGUAGCGGUGAAAUGCGUAGAGAUCGGGAGGAACACCAGUGGCGAAGGCGGCUACCUGGACGAGUACUGACACUGAGGAGCGAAAGCCAGGGGAGCAAACGGG
RNAcentral lists this ribosomal RNA (253 nucleotides) under uncultured bacterium. Its description in RNAcentral is "partial 16S ribosomal RNA". It matches the Rfam family "Bacterial small subunit ribosomal RNA", at positions 524 to 776 of the family's 1533-position model. The record is from RNAcentral.